AUGGGGAGAGCACCGUGUUGCCAGAAGCUGGGGCUGAAGCAGGGAAAGUGGACAGAGGAGGAAGACGACAUACUCGCAAGCUACAUCGCCCAGCAUGGCGAGGGGUCAUGGAGGUCGCUGCCCAAGAAUGCCGGGCUACUGAGGUGUGGUAAGAGCUGCAGGCUGCGGUGGGUCAACUACCUGAGGGACGGGGUGAAGAGGGGCAGCUUCUCUAAGGAGGAGGACGAUCUCAUCGUCAAGCUCCAUGCCACCAUUGGCAAAAGGUGGUCACUGAUUGCCAGCCACCUGCCAGGGCGGACCGACAACGAGAUCAAGAACUACUGGAAGUCGCAUCUGAGCCGGCAGUUCCACGGCUUAUGGCGGAUGUACACCGAGAGCAACAUCACCAAAACCGUUGACAUGAACAAGCUUUUCGCCACUCGGAAACGGCGAGGCGGCCGGGCGCCCGGCCAGUCGCCAAGGAGCAACAUGAAGAAGCAGCCUGUGCCUGGGCCCACCAAGGCGCAGGACGGCUCUAGCCCAAUUGGCGCUACAUAA
RNAcentral lists this ribosomal RNA (537 nucleotides) under Triticum aestivum (bread wheat). Its description in RNAcentral is "partial small subunit ribosomal RNA". Lineage: Eukaryota; Viridiplantae; Streptophyta; Magnoliopsida; Poales; Poaceae. The record is from RNAcentral.